ACCCCCUCAAGAUCAUACCUGGAGAGUUUCCGGAACUCUACCAGUCUCAGCUAUGGGAGGAAGAGUCAAACAGAGGUCUACCCAUUCCAUUCCUAGCUUGGGCAGUGGCUAGCAAGUGGAAGGCAAUCUGCUACAAGG
Molecule: small nucleolar RNA, 138 nt
Filed under: Ornithorhynchus anatinus (platypus)
Lineage: Eukaryota; Metazoa; Chordata; Mammalia; Monotremata; Ornithorhynchidae
Source: RNAcentral